Molecule: ribosomal RNA, 490 nt
Filed under: uncultured bacterium
Lineage: Bacteria
Description: partial 16S ribosomal RNA
Rfam family: Bacterial small subunit ribosomal RNA
Source: RNAcentral
AUUGAACGCUGGCGGCAGGCCUAACACAUGCAAGUCGAACGGUAACAGGAAGAAGCUUGCUUCUUUGCUGACGAGUGGCGGACGGGUGAGUAAUGUCUGGGAAACUGCCUGAUGGAGGGGGAUAACUACUGGAAACGGUAGCUAAUACCGCAUAACGUCGCAAGACCAAAAAGGGGGACCUUCGGGCCUCUUGCCAUCGGAUGUGCCCAGAUGGGAUUAGCUAGUAGGUGGGGUAACGGCUCACCUAGGCGACGAUCCCUAGCUGGUCUGAGAGGAUGACCAGCCACACUGGAACUGAGACACGGUCCAGACUCCUACGGGAGGCAGCAGUGGGGAAUAUUGCACAAUGGGCGCAAGCCUGAUGCAGCCAUGCCGCGUGUAUGAAGAAGGCCUUCGGGUUGUAAAGUACUUUCAGCGGGGGGGAAGGGAGUAAAGUUAAUACCUUUGCUCAUUGACGUUACCCGCAGAAGAAGCACCGGCUAACUCCGUG